Molecule: ribosomal RNA, 497 nt
Filed under: uncultured bacterium
Lineage: Bacteria
Description: partial 16S ribosomal RNA
Rfam family: Bacterial small subunit ribosomal RNA
Source: RNAcentral
GAUGAACGCUGGCGGCGUGCCUAAUACAUGCAAGUCGAGCGAACAGACGAGGAGCUUGCUCCUCUGACGUUAGCGGCGGACGGGUGAGUAACACGUGGAUAACCUACCUAUAAGACUGGGAUAACUUCGGGAAACCGGAGCUAAUACCGGAUAAUAUAUUGAACCGCAUGGUUCAAUAGUGAAAUACGGUUUUGCUGUCACUUAUAGAUGGAUCCGCGCCGCAUUAGCUAGUUGGUAAGGUAACGGCUUACCAAGGCAACGAUGCGUAACCGACCUGAGAGGGUGAUCGGCCACACUGGAACUGAGGCACGGUCCAGACUCCUACGGGAGGCAGCAGUAGGGAAUCUUCCGCAAUGGGCGAAAGCCUGACGGAGCAACGCCGCGUGAGUGAUGAAGGUCUUCGGAUCGUAAAACUCUGUUAUUAGGGAAGAACAAAUGUGUAAGUAACUAUGCACGUCUUGACGGUACCUAAUCAGAAAGCCACGGCUAACUACGUG